This 439-nucleotide ribosomal RNA is filed under the name Salmonella enterica subsp. enterica serovar Anatum. Its description in RNAcentral is "bacterial SSU rRNA". It matches the Rfam family "Bacterial small subunit ribosomal RNA", at positions 338 to 794 of the family's 1533-position model. Lineage: Bacteria; Pseudomonadati; Pseudomonadota; Gammaproteobacteria; Enterobacterales; Enterobacteriaceae. The record is from RNAcentral.
CCUACGGGUGGCAGCAGUGGGGAAUAUUGCACAAUGGGGGAAACCCUGAUGCAGCAACGCCGCGUGAGUGAUGACGGCCUUCGGGUUGUAAAGCUCUGUCUUCAGGGACGAUAAUGACGGUACCUGAGGAGGAAGCCACGGCUAACUACGUGCCAGCAGCCGCGGUAAUACGUAGGUGGCGAGCGUUGUCCGGAUUUACUGGGCGUAAAGGGAGCGUAGGCGGAUUUUUAAGUGAGAUGUGAAAUACUCGGGCUUAACCUGAGUGCUGCAUUUCAAACUGGAAGUCUAGAGUGCAGGAGAGGAGAAGGGAAUUCCUAGUGUAGCGGUGAAAUGCGUAGAGAUUAGGAAGAACACCAGUGGCGAAGGCGCUUCUCUGGACUGUAACUGACGCUGAGGCUCGAAAGCGUGGGGAGCAAACAGGAUUAGAUACCCUAGUAGU